Molecule: transfer RNA, 70 nt
Filed under: Heterocephalus glaber (naked mole-rat)
Lineage: Eukaryota; Metazoa; Chordata; Mammalia; Rodentia; Bathyergidae
Rfam family: tRNA
About the family: Transfer RNA (tRNA) molecules are approximately 80 nucleotides in length. Their secondary structure includes four short double-helical elements and three loops (D, anti-codon, and T loops).
Source: Rfam by way of RNAcentral
GAGGAUGUAGCUCAGUGGUGAAGCACUUGCCUAGCAUGCACAGGUCCUGGGUUCCAUCCCCAGCACCUCA